Molecule: small RNA, 125 nt
Filed under: Marmota monax (woodchuck)
Lineage: Eukaryota; Metazoa; Chordata; Mammalia; Rodentia; Sciuridae
Source: RNAcentral
GCCAGGCAUGGUGGCGCACGCAUGUAAUCCCAGUGCUCAGGAGGCUGAGACAGGAGGAUCAGGAGUUCAAAGCCAGCCUCAGCAACAGGCAAAGUGCUAAGUAACUCAGGGAGACCCUGUCUCUA